GAUCAUGGCUCAGGAUGAACGCUAGCUACAGGCUUAACACAUGCAAGUCGAGGGGCAGCAUGGUCUUAGCUUGCUAAGGCCGAUGGCGACCGGCGCACGGGUGAGUAACACGUAUCCAACCUGCCGUCUACUCUUGGACAGCCUUCUGAAAGGAAGAUUAAUACAAGAUGGCAUCAUGAGUCCGCAUGUUCCCANAUGAUUAAAGGUAUUCCGGUAGACGAUGGGG
This 226-nucleotide ribosomal RNA is filed under the name uncultured bacterium. RNAcentral's name for it is "partial 16S ribosomal RNA". It matches the Rfam family "Bacterial small subunit ribosomal RNA", at positions 15 to 230 of the family's 1533-position model. The record is from RNAcentral.